RNAcentral lists this ribosomal RNA (440 nucleotides) under uncultured bacterium. RNAcentral describes it as "partial 16S ribosomal RNA". It matches the Rfam family "Bacterial small subunit ribosomal RNA", at positions 338 to 795 of the family's 1533-position model. The record is from RNAcentral.
CCUACGGGAGGCAGCAGUGGGGGAUAUUGCACAAUGGGGGAAACCCUGAUGCAGCAACGCCGCGUGUGGGAAGAAGGUUUUCGGAUUGUAAACCACUGUUCUUGGUGAAGAUAAUGACGGUAACCAAGGAGAAAGCUCCGGCUAACUACGUGCCAGCAGCCGCGGUAAUACGUAGGGAGCAAGCGUUGUCCGGAUUUACUGGGUGUAAAGGGUGCGUAGGCGGUCUUGCAAGUCAGACGUGAAAACCACAGGCUCAACCUGUGGACUGCGUUUGAAACUGUGGGGCUUGAGUGAAGUAGAGGUAGGCGGAAUUCGUCGUGUAGCGGUGAAAUGCUUAGAUAUGACGAAGAACCCCGAUUGCGAAGGCAGCUUGCUGCAGCGGAACUGACGCUGAUGCUCGAAAGCGCGGGUAUCGGACAGGAUUAGAUACCCUGGUAGUC